GGGCCCGCACAAGCGGUGGAGCAUGUGGUUUAAUUCGAUGAUACGCGAGGAACCUUACCAGGACUUAAAUGUAAGUUGCAUGAUUCAGAAAUGAAUCUUUCUUCGGACUACUUACAAGGUGCUGCAUGGUUGUCGUCAGCUCGUGCCGUGAGGUGUCAGGUUAAGUCCUAUAACGAGCGCAACCCCUAUCGUUAGUUGCCAUCAAGUAAAGUUGGGAACUCUAGCGAAACUGCCGGUGCAAACCGUGAGGAAGGUGGGGAUGACGUCAAAUCAUCAUGCCCCUUAUGUCCAGGGCUGCACGCAUGCUACAAUGGCAAGUACAACGAGUCGCAAUACCGCGAGGUGGAGCAAAUCUCUUAAAGCUUGUCUCAGUUCGGAUAGGAGUCUGCAACUCGACUCCUUGAAGUUGGAGUCGCUAGUAA
RNAcentral lists this ribosomal RNA (422 nucleotides) under uncultured bacterium. RNAcentral describes it as "bacterial SSU rRNA". It matches the Rfam family "Bacterial small subunit ribosomal RNA", at positions 917 to 1341 of the family's 1533-position model. The record is from RNAcentral.